GGCUGAGCUGCGGUGGCUCAGUUUGUAGAGCGUUGGAGUCGUAAUCCAAAGUCGCGGGUUCUUUACCUGCCUAAGCCA
This is a non-coding RNA of Potamilus streckersoni, 78 nucleotides long. The record is from the annotation of a GenBank genome assembly. Lineage: Eukaryota; Metazoa; Mollusca; Bivalvia; Unionida; Unionidae.